RNAcentral lists this ribosomal RNA (1371 nucleotides) under uncultured bacterium. RNAcentral describes it as "16S ribosomal RNA". It matches the Rfam family "Bacterial small subunit ribosomal RNA", at positions 28 to 1381 of the family's 1533-position model. The record is from RNAcentral.
GAUAAACGCUGGCGGCGUGCCUAAUACGUGCAAGUCGAGCGAACGGACGAGAAGCUUGCUUCUCUGAUGUUAGCGGCGGACGGGUGAGUAACACGUGGAUAACCUACCUAUAAGACUGGGAUAACUUCGGGAAACCGGAGCUAAUACCGGAUAAUAUUUUGAACCGCAUGGUUCAAAAGUGAAAGACGGUCUUGCUGUCACUUAUAGAUGGAUCCGCGCUGCAUUAGCUAGUUGGUAAGGUAACGGCUUACCAAGGCAACGAUGCAUAGCCGACCUGAGAGGGUGAUCGGCCACACUGGAACUGAGACACGGUCCAGACUCCUACGGGAGGCAGCAGUAGGGAAUCUUCCGCAAUGAGCGAAAGCCUGACGGAGCAACGCCGCGUGAGUGAUGAAGGUCUUCGGAUCGUAAAACUCUGUUAUUAGGGAAGAACAUAUGUGUAAGUAACUGUGCACAUCUUGACGGUACCUAAUCAGAAAGCCACGGCUAACUACGUGCCAGCAGCCGCGGUAAUACGUAGGUGGCAAGCGUUAUCCGGAAUUAUUGGGCGUAAAGCGCGCGUAGGCGGUUUUUUAAGUCUGAUGUGAAAGCCCACGGCUCAACCGUGGAGGGUCAUUGGAAACUGGAAAACUUGAGUGCAAGAGGGGAGAGUGGAAUUCCAUGUGUAGCGGUGAAAUGCGUAGAUAUAUGGAGGAACACCGGUGGCGAAAGCGACUCUUCUGGCUUGUAACUGACGCUGAUGCUCGAAAGCGUGGGGAUCAAACAGGAUUAGAUACCCUGGUAGUCCACGCCGUAAACGAUGAGUGCUAGGUGUUAGACCCUUUCCGGGGUUUAGUGCCGUAGCUAACGCAUUAAGCACUCCGCCUGGGGAGUACGACCGCAAGGUUGAAACUCAAAGGAAUUGACGGGGGCCCGCACAAGCGGUGGAGCAUGUGGUUUAAUUCGAAGCAACGCGAAGAACCUUACCAGGUCUUGACAUCCCUCUGACCACUCUAGAGAUAGAGUUUUCCUUCGGGACAGAGGUGACAGGUGGUGCAUGGUUGUCGUCAGCUCGUGUCGUGAGAUGUUGGGUUAAGUCCCGCAACGAGCGCAACCCCUAUUGUUAGUUGCCAUCAUUCAGUUGGGCACUCUAGCGAGACUGCCGGUAAUAAACCGGAGGAAGGUGGGGAUGACGUCAAAUCAUCAUGCCCCUUAUGACCUGGGCUACACACGUGCUACAAUGGCUGGUACAACGAGUCGCAAGCCGGUGACGGUAAGCUAAUCUCUUAAAGCCAGUCUCAGUUCGGAUUGUAGGCUGCAACUCGCCUACAAGAAGUCGGAAUCGCUAGUAAUCGCGGAUCAGCACGCCGCGGUGAAUACGUUCCCGGGCCU